GCAGGUGUAGCUCAGUGGUAGAGCACAUGCUUUGCAUGCACAAGGUCCUGGGUUCAAUCCUUCGUACCUCCA
RNAcentral lists this transfer RNA (72 nucleotides) under Camelus bactrianus (Bactrian camel). It matches the Rfam family "tRNA". Rfam says of the family: Transfer RNA (tRNA) molecules are approximately 80 nucleotides in length. Their secondary structure includes four short double-helical elements and three loops (D, anti-codon, and T loops). RNAcentral also lists the same sequence under 2 other names. The record is from Rfam by way of RNAcentral. Lineage: Eukaryota; Metazoa; Chordata; Mammalia; Artiodactyla; Camelidae.